RNAcentral lists this ribosomal RNA (437 nucleotides) under uncultured bacterium. RNAcentral describes it as "partial 16S ribosomal RNA". It matches the Rfam family "Bacterial small subunit ribosomal RNA", at positions 29 to 507 of the family's 1533-position model. The record is from RNAcentral.
AGCGAACGCUGGCGGCAGGCUUAACACAUGCAAGUCGAGCGGGCAUCCUUGUGGUGUCAGCGGCAGACGGGUGAGUAACGCGUGGGAACGUGCCCUUCGGUUCGGAAUAACUCAGGGAAACUUGAGCUAAUACCGGAUACGUGCGAGAGCAGAAAGGUUUAUCUGCCGAAGGAUCGGCCCGCGUCUGAUUAGCUAGUUGGUGAGGUUAUGGCUCACCAAGGCGACGAUCAGUAGCUGGUCUGAGAGGAUGAUCAGCCACACUGGGGCUGAGACACGGCCCAGACUCCUACGGGAGGCAGCAGUGGGGAAUAUUGGACAAUGGGGGCAACCCUGAUCCAGCCAUGCCGCGUGAGUGAUGACGGCCUUAGGGGUGUAAAGCUCUUUUCUGCGGGACGAUAAUGACGGUACCGGAGGAAUAAGCCCCGGCUAACUUCGUG